UCUCCCCAAUCCUGGGAACCUUUAAACCUCUCACCAAUAAACUAUUACACAAAAUCUAAACCAUACAAAAAACAUUCACUAUCUACCCCAAACUCCCAAAAACCGCAAGGGACAAUUAAAAUAUUUACAAGUAGUAAUUCUAUACGUACCUUUUGCAUCAUGGCUUAACAAAACCAAAUGUAAACCAAUAACCCCGAAAAUUGUGCGAGCUAUAAAAUAUUUGUUAAGAACUCACCUAUUUCUAUGUCACCAGAACAGGAAAAAUAUUCUAUAGAGGCUACAUACCUUCCGCGCCAAUUUAUAGCUGGCUUUUCACUAACUCUGUCUAAGCAGAAAAAUUAGGUAUAACAGACCUAAUUUUACAAAGGAAAGGGGCAAAGCCUUUUCCUAAAAUCUACCUUCUUCAUAUAAAAAUUAUGCGUAGGCCUACCAGCAGCCCUCGAAAAACAGAGCGUUACCGCCCCCAUAAAUAAAAAUAAAUAGAAACCAUAGUGACCCACAAAGUGAAAUAUAAGAUCCAACACAUGAUCUUACAAACACUGUUAAGACUAGUAUUGAAAUAUAUAAAAAUCCCUUUACUUAAUAUCUCUUUAAGGAACUCGGCAAAAAAUUUUUCCGACUGUUAACAAAAACAUUGCCUGUUGAAAUACAAAUUUCAGGUAAUUCCUGCCCAAUGAAAAUUUUAAAUGGCCGCGGUAAACCGUGCAAAGGUAGCAUAAUCAUUUGCCUCUUAAUUAGGGGCUGGCAUGAACGGAUUAAACGAGAAAAAAGCUGUCUCAAAGAGAACACUAAAACCUAUCCUUUAGGUGAAAAGACCUAAAUAAAUAUAGAAGACAAGAAGACCCUAUCGCGCUUUAUUUACACUUUCGCCCUCAAGAGAAAGAAAAAUUUGGUUGGGGCGACCCAUGACACCCAAAAACGUCUAUCACCUAUAAGACUUACAAGUCUACUUAAUGACCCUAUUAAGAUUAAAGAACAAGUCACCGUAGGGAUAACAGGCUAAUCCCCUCCUAGAGCCCAAAUCGACGAGGGGGGUUGGCACCUCGAUGUUGGCUUAGGGCAUCCUUUAGAUGUAGCCGUCUAAAAAGGCAGGUUUGUUCAACCUAAUCCGCCCUACAUGAGCUGAGUUCAGACCGGCGUAAGCCAGGUCGGCUUCUAUCUCUAUAACGAAAAUUAUUAAAUAGUAGUACGAAAGGACCCUAACAUAAUUAAAAAUUAAUGAAACAAGAAACCAUAUAAAUUCAAAUAAAUCGUUCCAAUAAAAUA
This 1266-nucleotide ribosomal RNA is filed under the name Urechis caupo. RNAcentral describes it as "large subunit ribosomal RNA". The stretch from base 803 to 1166 matches the Rfam family "Bacterial large subunit ribosomal RNA", at positions 2049 to 2651 of the family's 2925-position model. Lineage: Eukaryota; Metazoa; Annelida; Polychaeta; Xenopneusta; Urechidae. The record is from RNAcentral.